This is a long non-coding RNA of Ruditapes philippinarum (Manila clam), 2646 nucleotides long. RefSeq lists it as uncharacterized. The transcript is spliced from 4 exons. Lineage: Eukaryota; Metazoa; Mollusca; Bivalvia; Venerida; Veneridae. The record is from RefSeq and is a predicted model, not a curated record.
GUAAUCGCUAUUGACCCACCAUUAGCGGUAGGUACAUUACGGGGACACCAGUGAGGAGAGGUUACGGUAGAAACCGUAAGGUUACGGUAAUAACCGUAACUCCGCCCUCUACAUCCAACAUGGCUACUAUAAUAACAAAAAGCAACGAUGAAGCUCAAAAAAUGAUUUUACAACUUGAAACUUAAAACAGUGGCCGAUUUGUGGCAAGGAAAAAAUGAGAAGAAUGGUGUAAGCUGGGCUACGAGCUCUGGACUGAUCAGCUGAUGCGCAUAUGAUGAGGCUUUAGAAAAAAAAUGGAAGGAAAUAUCUAGCCGUACAGCUAGCCAAAGUCCAAGCCAUAUAGAGCUGAACAAGUUUGGUUGAAAAUCAUGGAUGAUUCUAGCAAUUGUCAUCAAGGAACUUCUGGUAACUGUUAAGUUUGGUUAUGAAACUAUCAACUAACCACUUCCAAAACAAAUUGCUUAUUUGUGGAUUUUAGGAUUUCUAGGUCUGGUUGGGUAUACAGUAUGGAAGUUUUAUAUUAAGCGGAUGUGAAAAACCAAAUCAAGGGUAAUGGAUGACACCAUCAAUUAAACAGAGCAGAAAUAUAGCACAACUCUAACAAUAAUGACAAUAGUGUACACACACACACAAGAAAUCGAUCAGCUUGAAAUUAAUGGAUUUUUAGCAGUUUUAGAUUUUUUUAAGUUACAGUUUGUUUCAUAUGUAAAUGAUGUUUUAAAUAUUAGUCAGAACUGCUUCAUUCCAUUGUUAUAAGGUAUAUGUUGUAAAAUUUUGCUAUUGUAAAAUUUAUUACCUGUUUAAAUAACUCUAAUUAUCACAUAAACCACGGCACAUGAGUGUAAUAAAGCCAUUUAAUAAAUCAAUAUUACUCUAGUGUAAUAACACUUUGUCAUGACGUCAUAGAGUUAUUGCGCGCUAAUGUUAGCGUUACACUAAAGGCACGUCAAUGAAAAUGACUCAUUUUAACUAUAAGCCGUUCUCUUUUUGGGUAUGUGAUAAAUAGAAUAUUCGUAUAGGUUCCAUACUAAAUUUAUUGAAAAGUUGAAUAAAACAAUAUUAUGCUCGCCAGAGGCUCGUAUAAUAUGAUUUUAUUCAACUCGUUCAAUAAAUUUAGUAUUAAACCUUAGUAACAUGUACACUCAUCCAAUAUCCUCUAUUUAGGAUGCUUUUUACUGAAAGUAGCUUGUUUUUAUACUGUAAAUUAAAACUAAUAUUCAUGCUAUUGAUAUAUUUUUUUAAGAAACCUCUUUAAAGUUAAAGUAAUGAUAUAUGUACUUACAAAAAAUCAAAUCCUAUUUAUUAUUAAAAAUUUUAGCUCUUUAUAUAUAUUGAUAGAAGUUAAAAUUGUAGCUGUUUAACCAUUUAUUUUUUUUUUGAUACUGGAGACAGAUAAUGUGUAACAAUCGUAAUUAUUAUAUUUCUUUUUUGUGUGUGUUCUGACAACAGUUUUUGUGCAUGCAGCAGUCUGUCCAUCUGUUAGCUGGCAAAUGUAAGCUUCAAUAUACAAAUACUGUAGUAUUAUGUUUUGUGCAAGGUCAUUGUCCAAAGGUCAAGGUUAGACUUGGGGAUAUAUUUGGAUAACUUACUGUAAAAUUCAAUUUUACCAUAUGAGAAAUUUUAUAUUGGCAUGAUAUAACUGUAAAUACAUUGUAAACAUACUAGAUCAACACCAAAUUGAACAUUUUGUCACCUCAGUGCAGUAGCAGAUUAACCCAUUACUGCAUUAAUGAUAAAUUGGUGUAUUCUGUAAAAGAUUUUGUGCUACUUCAAUGUAUUUCUGUUAUAAAUAUAAACACAUACUCACAGAUUCAAACAUAUUCAAAGAAUAGGUAACUAAAUGGUCAAUUAAACAACAUUUUCAGACACCCCAAUUACAAUGAGAUGUAAUAUUUAGCCAAAACUGUAGGUAGUAAAUAAGAUAUAUAAGGACAUAAUGUGAUAUAAUAGUCGCUCACCAAUGUAGGUAGGUAUAAUUAAUUAGAUAUUUCAAGACUAAAUAGUUUGUAAUAGUUGCCCACCAGUGUAGGUAGGUAUUAGUAAUAAGAUAUUUCAAGACUAGAUAGUUUGUAAUAGUGGCCCACCAGUGUAGGUAGGUAUUUAUAAUGAUGUAGAGUAAGGUUGAAUAAGAUUUUAAUAGUGGCCCACCAGUGUAGGUAGGUGUUAAUGAUUAGAAAUUUCAAGACUAGAUAGUUUGUGAUAGUGGCCCACCAAUGUAGGUAGGUAUUUAUAUUGAGGUAAAUAUUAAGGUUAAAUAAGGUUUAAUAGUGGGCCACCAGUGUAUGUAGGUAUUAAUAAAAAGAUAUUUCAACACUAGAUAGUUUCUAAUAGUGACCCACCAGUGUAGGUAGGAAUUUAUAAUUACAUAUUUCAAGACUAGAUUGUUUGUAAUAGUGGCCCACCAGUGUAGGUAGGUAUUUAUAAUUAGAUAUUUCAAGACUAGAUUAUUUGUAAUAGUGGCCCACCAGUGUAGGUAGGUAUUUACAAUAAGAUAUUUCAAGACUAGAUAGUUUGUAAUAGUGGCCCACCAGUGUAGGUAGGUAUUUACAAUAAGAUAUUUCAAGAUUAGAUAGUUUGUAAUAGUGGCCCACCAGUGUAGGUAGGUAUUUAUAAUAAGAUAUUUCAAGACUAGAUAGUUUCUUCUAG